UGAAAGUGAAAAAAAUUCACAAAAUCUCUCUUUCGCUCUCGCUUUUCCUUCAUUUAGGAAGAAAUGAAUUUGUUAACUGUUCAACUAUUGUCUUUCUCUCUCUUUGACUCAACUACUCACCACAUUUUAUGCACUGCAGCUCUAGCUAGCUGUAGCUUAUGCUUUCUGUACUAGAUUUAUUCUCUGAUCCUUUGAUUGGGUGGACAACGUUUAAGUUCAUGUGCAAGAGCUCUGAUCGGUUAGAGGAUGUCCUUCGGAAGUUGUCAUCAUAAUUACUGUAGCCCAGGACCUGUCAUCCAGUGAAGAUAUAACAGUUCAGGUUGACAAGGAGGUCUGCCACCAGAUGAGCUCUGUCUUCAAGGAGCUUAUCGCUCGACAAUCAUUCCCUCCUCCAUCCUCCUCCACCCCCUCGGUCACCUCAUCCCGCUCUUCCCAACCUCCUCCAGAGCAAAAGAAAGGAGGGGUUGGGCGCAGAAGGGAAAGACCUGUUUAGAUCUGACCAACUGGACUGGUAAAAAGAGAGAGGGGACCAGAAUGAAUUAAUGGCUAGAUGGAUGAAUACAUGAAUGAGAGGGAAGGAAAGGAAGGAGAGAGACGAAAGAGACGAGAGACGAGAUGACACCGUGUAGGAUGACAGGUUGCGACAGCAGCCUUUGACAGUGGGAUUACAGAUGGCUGGGUUACAUGAACCGCAGUCAGUUCACUGUAGUGUAUGAGUCUGCUCAGACAGCAGCCUUCAUUGUGAAGCCUGUGAAUGGACAGUCACAGACAAAAGGGUUUGACUCCUACUGUGAAGACUUUUGUUAGUGUGUUUGAUACAACACACCCCAAUGACCCCCACUCUGAUUUUCACUGUAGGGCUGUGUCCCCAUUCUCCACACUUUUCCCAAAGUGUGCACUUGCACACUCCCCACCAUGGAUUUGAAAAGCAUUGGAUUGUAAUCAUUAACCUCUAUGGGCUAGGUGGGACGCAAGCGUCCCACCCGUGGUGCACUCCAUCAACAGCAGGUGCAUUUCAAGAGCGGCAAAUUUGAAUCCAAAUAAAUGUCAAAAUUCAAAUUUUUCAAAAAUACAACUAUUUUACACCCUUUGAAAGAUAAACAUCUCCUUAAUCUAACCACGUUUUACGAUUUCAAAAAGGUUUUACGGCGAAAGCAUAAAUUUAGAGUAUGUUAGGACAGUACAUUUACAAGAGUUGUGUGUAAUGUUGUGCCAAUUCAAAGACAG
RNAcentral lists this long non-coding RNA (1227 nucleotides) under Salmo salar (Atlantic salmon). RNAcentral describes it as "lncRNA (ENSSSAG00000121718.1)". The record is from RNAcentral. Lineage: Eukaryota; Metazoa; Chordata; Actinopteri; Salmoniformes; Salmonidae.